This 262-nucleotide ribosomal RNA is filed under the name uncultured archaeon. RNAcentral's name for it is "partial 16S ribosomal RNA". It matches the Rfam family "Archaeal small subunit ribosomal RNA", at positions 748 to 1008 of the family's 1478-position model. The record is from RNAcentral.
AGGGUGUAAACGCUGCAGACUUGGUGUUGGAAGCCCUUUGGGGGCAUUCAGUGCCGGAGAGAAGUUGUUAAGUCUGCUACUUGGGGAGUACGUCCGCAAGGAUGAAACUUAAAGGAAUUGGCGGGGGAGCACCGCAACGGGAGGAGCGUGCGGUUUAAUUGGAUUCAACACCGUAAAACUACACCAGGGAAGACUGUUACAUGAAAGCCGAGAUGAAGACUCUGCUAGAUUUUCAGAGAGGUGGUGCAUGGCGUCAGUGACU